AACGAACGCUGGCGGCAGGCUUAACACAUGCAAGUCGAACGAACAUAGCAAUAUGUUAGUGGCAGACGGGUGAGUAACACGUGGGAAUGUGCCCUAUGGUUUGGAAUAACUCAGGGAAACUUGAGCUAAUACCGGAUAAUCCCGAGAGGGGAAAGAUUUAUCGCCAUUGGAGCAGCCCGCGUCUGAUUAGCUAGUUGGUGAGGUAAUGGCUCACCAAGGCGACGAUCAGUAGCUGGUCUGAGAGGAUGAUCAGCCACACUGGGACUGAGACACGGCCCAGACUCCUACGGGAGGCAGCAGUGGGGAAUAUUGGACAAUGGGGGCAACCCUGAUCCAGCCAUGCCGCGUGAGUGAUGAAGGCCUUAGGGUUGUAAAACUCUUUUAUCCGGGAAGAUAAUGACUGUACCGGAAGAAUAAGCCCCGGCUAACUUCGUGCCAGCCGCCGCCGUAA
RNAcentral lists this ribosomal RNA (451 nucleotides) under uncultured bacterium. RNAcentral's name for it is "partial 16S ribosomal RNA". It matches the Rfam family "Bacterial small subunit ribosomal RNA", at positions 29 to 523 of the family's 1533-position model. The record is from RNAcentral.